UCCUUCGACUCCUACUGGAAUUACCCCGUCAGCUGCUCCAGCCCUGUGCUGGAAGAGGGGCAAGGGGUAUGGUGAGACGUGUUGGUAGAUGGGGCACUGGGACGAAGGGGAAAGCAGAAAAUUAAGCCUCUGUUUUCGCCUUCCCCUACCCCGCCCCUCCCGCCCCCGUAAUUCCAGAAUGUUGCUUCCGCCUCCUUUCUUUUGCUGCCAGGCGUAGGUGUGGCCACUGGGACGAAACCUGGCAGAAAAUUAAGCCUCUGUUUUCGCCUUCCCCUACCCCCUCCGAGUAGGGGUUCCACAGCGCAGGGAGACAAGGAUGGUGGCCAGUUACCAGAAAAUCAAGGCAGAUGGAAAGGGAGGAAUGGCCUACGGGGGCCAUGCAGGGGCUGCAUGGAGGAACUGGUCAGCAUGCACAGAAGUGGAUGGCAGUGGGCCAGGCACAGUGGCUCACAUCUGUAAUCCCAGCACUUUGGGAGACUGAGGUGGGUGGAUCACCUGAGCCCAGGAGUUCGAGAGCAGCCUGGACAACAUGAUGAAACCCCAUCGCUACUAAAAAUACAAAAAUUAGCUUGGUGUGGUGGCAGACACUUGUAAUCCCAGCUACUCAAGGAGGUUGAGACAGGCGAAUUGCUUGAGGUGGAGGUUUCAGUGAGCCAAGAUAGCGCCACUACACUCCAGCCUGUGGGACAGACCGAGACUCUGACUAAAAAUAAAAUAAAUUUUAAAAAGGUGGACCGCAGUGGUGUGGGAAUGGACCUGACAGACCUCCCGUUAUGGAAAGCUUACACAGCCAAGGGCCAAAGGCCAACCGCCAUUCUCUGAAACCUGUCCUGCAUUUGUGCCAAGGCCACACUUCCCACAGGCUGCUCCAGCCAGUGACCAAACACAGCACGGACACUGUGACUGGCCCAUUCUGGGAGACAUGGGACUCCUCUGAUGUCCAGCUUUGCUUUGGGGACUCCCUGAUGGCCUUGCCAAGCCUUCCUGAUAAAGCACUUUGGUCCAGGAAGCUUCUACCCGACCUUCCUUCCUCUCUCCUUCACGCAGGGUCAGACUUACAAUGUGGUCUGACAAUUCCCCCAGCAGUUCCUGGCUCUUGCUCCUUUCCUCUCACAGGUGCUUCUCUUGAGAAAAUUCUUGCAUGCUUAAUCCCAAUUUGAGGGAUUAUUGGGACAAUUAUUGGGACCACUAUUGGAAUGGUUGACAAACUGUCACUAGGGGUGUGUAAAUUAAAUGGCCGUAUCUUAUAAAUCCAUGUUAAUUUCCCGGUAUAGAUGACAGCGCUGUGAUUAUAUAGGAGUAGGUCCUUGAUGUUUAGGAAUUACAAGGUGAAAUGUUUAGGAUAAUGGAGCAACUUACUUUCAAAUGGUUCCCAAAAAAUUAUAGAUAGAUAGAUAGAUAGAUAGAUAGAUAGAUGGAUAGAUAGAGUGAGAAAGUGAGAAUAGUAAAGCAAAUGUAUAUAAAGUUUUGUGGCAAGAGAGCAUAGUUUUUUUGUAGUAUUCUUGCAACUUUUCCAUAAGUUUGAAAUUGUCCAAAAUUUAAAAAUGUUUAAAAC
Molecule: long non-coding RNA, 1555 nt
Organism: Sapajus apella (tufted capuchin)
Lineage: Eukaryota; Metazoa; Chordata; Mammalia; Primates; Cebidae
Exons: 3
Source: RefSeq, a predicted model, not a curated record